UUGAUUUUUUAAUAAGACUCAGACAAUAAAGUAAAGAGUUUAAAUCCUUCGGCGGGAACUCGCCCGCAAAGCCGACGGUCUUGUUAAGAACGUCCCGCCGAAGCAACAGGUCAAUUCACAAAGGGUGGGAGUUCUACUGUUAGGUAGAUAACUCGAUAAUGAUCCUUCCGCAGGUUCACCUACGGAAA
This 188-nucleotide unclassified non-coding RNA is filed under the name uncultured fungus. Its description in RNAcentral is "sequence contains ITS1". The record is from RNAcentral. Lineage: Eukaryota; Fungi.